Molecule: long non-coding RNA, 849 nt
Organism: Astatotilapia calliptera (eastern happy)
Lineage: Eukaryota; Metazoa; Chordata; Actinopteri; Cichliformes; Cichlidae
Source: Ensembl
ACAUGGUCCAAAUGAACCAGUUGAGGAACAUAGUAUCUUCAACUGGUAACGACGCUGAGAUCUGGAUCGGUCUGUACGCUAAAAUUGCCUGGAUGUGGUCAGAUAGGACCACAGGACGUGGGGCUGAAUAUAGGAACUGGGAAAAUAAUACUAAUGAACCAGAUUUUUAUGGAGCCAGAGAAACAUGCGUCUCCAUUGGAGAAGAUGGAGGAUGGCAGGAUGAGAUAUGGAUACAAGAAUAUCCAUUUAUCUGUAAUAAUGGAACACAGCUAGAGCCUGAAUUUGUUCUUGUUGAUGAAGCAAUGGAUUGGGGGAGUGCUCAGGCUUGCUGCAGCCAGAACUUCACAAGCCUGGUCACUGUGAAGAACGACAUAGAGAACCAGAUGGUCCAGAGCUUUGGUGCCAAGUGGCGAUCGGGCAUGGAUUGGUUUAAGCAGGCCUAAUUGGUUUUUUUGGUCCGAUCAGAGCAGAUUCAACUUUGGCUAUUUUGACAACGUUGCAAACCCGAUUGACUCAAUGAAAGUCAUGUGUGGUGUUUUGGCUUUGAAAAGUUCAGGAAAAUUUAGGUUUUUGUCCUGUGAAACAAGCUUACCCUUUGUCUGCUACAACUUCCCUCCACCCGUAAAACAGCAGAUAAUUAAGCUGAGACUGAAUCCUGGGUCCUCUGCUCUGGAUUUGAAUGAUCCUAUUGUGAAAUCAGAAAUCCUUGAAAAAGGUAAGUCCUGAGUUUAAAUAGUUCCUUUUUUCAGCCUGAUCUCAGGCCAAUUAAGAACAAUGUUUAAUUAAAAAACAAAACAAAUAUAUUUAAAUUUGAGAAAAUGUUCUAAAUGGCUGCUGUUUGUGUCUCCC